UGACCUCACUCACUGUCUGUGCAUGUGCUAAACCAUUUACACUCACAGGCUCUGCUCUAAGACUGUGACUCUCUGCAGGAGCAGGAAAGUCUUUGUGGGGACUGUCAUGUGUUAACAAGUAAUACACCCCUCAAGACCUUGACGGGGUGAGGCCUUCUUCUGCUCUCACCGUGCCAUGGGUACCAGGCUCCUCCGCUGGGCAGUGUUUUGUCUCCUGGAGGCAGUACUGUCUGAAGCUGGAGUCACCCAGUCUCCCAGAUUUGCAGUCAUACAGGAAAGGCAGAAUGUUUCCUUGCAGUGUGACCCUAUUUCUGGACAUGCUGUCCUUUAUUGGUACCUGCAGCCCAGAGACCAUGGGCUCCAGCUCCUAGUUUACUUCCAGAAUGAGGCUGUUGUGGAUGAGUCACAGUUGCCCAAGGAUCACUUCUCUGCACUGAGGCCUGAAGGUGUUGACUCCACUCUCAAGAUCCAGUCUGCAAAGCAGGGGCACUCAGCCACUUAUCUCUGUGCCAGCAGCUUAGCCACAGCAAGGCAGUAGCACCUCCCUGCUGUGCACAAAGCUGAUGGUUUUCUUCAAGCCAGCUUACUUAUAGCAGAGACUUCUGAUUACGUCCUUUCUUCCA
Non-coding RNA from Acomys russatus (golden spiny mouse), 623 nucleotides. The record is from the annotation of a RefSeq genome assembly. NCBI's taxonomy places the organism in Eukaryota, Metazoa, Chordata, Mammalia, Rodentia, Muridae.